This 67-nucleotide transfer RNA is filed under the name Pinnotheres excussus. Its description in RNAcentral is "tRNA-Tyr". The record is from RNAcentral. Lineage: Eukaryota; Metazoa; Arthropoda; Malacostraca; Decapoda; Pinnotheridae.
AGUAAAGUGGCUGAGUUGUAAGCGGUAGAUUGUAAGUCUAAGUACGAGUGAAAACUUCUUUAUUAAU